GGGGGACAGGGUGACAGGUUGGUGCAUGGUUGUCGUCAGCUCGUGUCGUGAGAUGUUGGGUUAAGUCCCGCAACGAGCGCAACCCUCGCCUCUAGUUGCCAGCAUUCGGUUGGGCACUCUAGAGGGACUGCCGGCGACAAGUCGGAGGAAGUGGGAUGACGUCAAAUCAUCAUGCCCCUUAUGACCUGGGCUACACACGUGCUACAAUGGGCGGUACAAAGGGCUGCGAACCCGCGAGGGGGAGCGAAUCCCAAAAAGCCGCUCUCAGUUCGGAUUGCAGGCUGCAACUCGCCUGCAUGAAGCCGGAAUCGCUAGUAAUCGCGGAUCAGCAUGCCGCGGUGAAUACGCUCCCGGGCCUU
Molecule: ribosomal RNA, 359 nt
Filed under: uncultured Geobacillus sp.
Lineage: Bacteria; Bacillati; Bacillota; Bacilli; Caryophanales; Anoxybacillaceae
Description: bacterial SSU rRNA
Rfam family: Bacterial small subunit ribosomal RNA
Source: RNAcentral